CCAGCAUUGUGGAGAUAAACUAAGCUAACAGAAGACCCACCUAAUCUGUGGCCGUAACUGUUAGCGGCUAAACGGGGCUAAACGUUAACAAUUUCUUUUAUUCGCUUUCCCCCGGAAAACUUCGUGCUGAGUUCCAGCUCAUUGAGACGAAUCCAGCGAGGAGUUUUUCAUCACUGAAGCAGAAGCAUGAGUUCCUCAAGAAAGGAACAUUUAGAAGAAGAGGAAUCCAGACAUAACCGGUGUGAGCACGACAACACAUCACAUUCAGAGAUGGAAAACAAGCAUCACACUGGGGAGAAACCAUGCCGCUAUGAUCAGUCUGAAGCAGCAGUCAAUACACCACAACUGCAGAACCACCAGAGGCAUUGCACUGGACGGAAACUGUUGAGCUGUGAUGUGUGCGGAGCAUCUUUCACAAGCUCUGCUCAUCUGAAGCGGCACAAAUUAAGCCAUGAUAAUAACAAAGCAUACAGUUGUGAUGAGUGUGGGUCAUGUUACAGAACACAAGAGUACUUGAAGCAACACAAACGUAUUCAUACUGGUGAAAAACCAUUCGAAUGUGAUCUGUGUGGGGCAAGUUUCUUCACAUCUGGCCAUCUACAAAUCCACAGACGAAGCCAUACAGGAGAGAAACCAUACAAAUGUGACCGCUGUGAUCGAAGCUUCAGACAGCACAGUGACUUACAAAAACACAUACGCAUUCACACUGGAGAAAAACGGUACUGGUGUGAGGUUUGUGGUAGAAGGUUUGCACGUGGGUGCACGCUCCGAAAUCAUCAGAGGAUUCACACAGGAGAAAAACCUUACACCUGUAACGAAUGCGGGAAAAGUUUUGCCCGGAAAUACACCCUGGAUGUUCACCAUCGACAACAUACUGGAGAAAAGUUAUACUGGUGUGAGCAGUGUGGAAAAACCUUUUAUUCCUCCUGUGGUUUGAGAAAUCAUCUAAAAACUCAUAGUAGCAAAUAGAGCUACUCGGUUAAGGCAGAAAUAAUAAUCUCGAUUAUUUUGACUGAAAUAAUCUUGAGAUCUCGAUUAUUUAACACAGUUAUUCAUUAUUCACUUUAAUAAUGUGAAUUUUUAUCCAUCCAUCCAUGCAUACAUCCAUACAUUCAUACAUUCAUUUGAAGUGUUUGGUAAUACAGACUAGUGCCGUCAUAUACGGCUCUAUGGUGCGGCUUGACCACAGAUCCGUAGUGAUACCGUUUGUGCAAAGUGUUGAUGAAUUUUUCAAAUCCUGGGUUUUCACUGUGUUAAUUGAGCAGUGGUCUUUGGCUAGAAAAAAAAGUUAUGUUUGUGGGAGGAGUCUGCAGCAGAGCGCUGCAAUGCCAGUGGUGCUUGACUUGCAACUGAAAACAGCGCAAGAGUAAAUUGCAAAGGAGCAAAAAAUCCGAUCUUUUAAUUUUUAUGAUCGUAACUGAGAUUAAAAUUUGAUUAUUCACCCAGCCCUAGUAGCAGAGAAGAAAUUGCAAAGGUCUGAUUACAUUGACACCAAAACUAAACUUGAUGGACACCCUCCCCUAAUCGUCAGCUGGACGUUGGGACUAAUUAUUUUCUGUGAGCUCACUUUAGAUUUCAGUGGGUUUAUUGUUCAGAUUUUUUAUGUUUUGUAUCAUAAAAAUAUGGAAGCCUGUUUCCGCCACUUAUAAUUAUAAGAUUCAAAGUCAUUAUUAUGAUAUUCAGAGUAAGGAAUUUGAUCAAAUGUCAUAUUUACAAGAUUGAAUGUCAUAAUUAUGAGAUAAAUCUUUGAGAUACAACAGAUAAAUGACUCUUCUUUAUCCCAUCAUGACUUUAUAUCUCAUAAUUAUUACUUUAUUUCCUUACUUUUUUUUACCUCAGUGACUUUAUCUUAUUACUUUUACUCAUUAUCAUGACGUUUUAUCUAUAUCUUUUAAUUACUUUUUAUAAUAAUUAUGCCUUCAAAAUUAUGGGUCUCAUAAUUAUGACUUUAUCUCAUAAUGACUUUAAAUCUUGUAAUUAUGGCUUUCUAUCAUAAUUGUGACUUUGAAUCUCAUAAUAAUGUCUUGUACUUUAAAUGUGGUAUAUAAAUAAACUUUCUUUUCAUUCGUAGACGGACUAGAUUUCAUAUCUUUUAAGUUUCUUUGCCCCCCAUCCCCCCAAACAAACUGGACUUUUCGAUCAAACCAACUAGGAUUUGAAUGAGUAGAGCUGAAGUGAAUGCAACCUGAAUGUGACCUGUGUAUGUACGGUCUUAGAAGAGUUCAAAAGUUUGAAACUAUCAAUUGGAAAUUGGAAUUUUGUUUGAACAUGAUUUUUUCUGCAUUGCAUUGUCUGGAUUAUAUGACAUCAUUUUGAUGAACUGACUGUGUUGAGGAAUGGUAAUGUUUUGAUCCUAGAGUCAAGUGAUGAAGCAGCCAAACAAGUUAAUGUCGUUUACCUUCUUGCUACGUUGCUACUUAUUAACAGGACAGUUGUGUUUAGUUUUAGUCUUCCUGAACAAAAAAAACUUGUAAUCUGAGGAAUAAUGCCAUCAAAUUAAUUUUAAAAGCUAUGUUCACAAAAAGAUAUGUGUAAUAAACUCUUUUUAUAUAUAUAUCUAUGUACUUACCUUUUGGAUAAUUUGGAGUGUAUCGUUCUGCUAAUUACUGUGUUGUGCAUUCUGAAAUUUCAAUAAAAUGUGCAAAACAUUUUAAUUUCAGUUGUGUAACAGAUGCAUGUUCAGUGUGACGUGUAAAUUGACAAGGGAUGUUCCGAUAUAUUUUUUUCUGUCCGAAACCUACUCCAUUAAUAAAUGGGGUUUAGGUAUCUGCUGACAGAGAGUACUGAUCCGAUACCUCUGUUAAUUUUAUUAAGAGGUAUAUUAAAUUUAUAAUUUAAAUAACAUUUAUUACAGACUUUGAUGUAUGAUUUUACUGUCAUUCAUUGACCUAGCCUAAGUUAAUCUACAAAACAUGAAUUAACAAAUGAAAACAAUGAUUGCCACCGGUCACCCAGGAAAAUAAAUUCAGAAACUUUCCCAUUCAUCCGAGUCUGAUCCCAGUUUUUCCUUGCAUGUGUUAGGCCGCAU
Melanotaenia boesemani (Boeseman's rainbowfish) is the source of this 3028-nucleotide long non-coding RNA. RefSeq lists it as uncharacterized. The transcript has 3 exons. The record is from RefSeq and is a predicted model, not a curated record. NCBI's taxonomy places the organism in Eukaryota, Metazoa, Chordata, Actinopteri, Atheriniformes, Melanotaeniidae.